Molecule: ribosomal RNA, 119 nt
Filed under: Helianthus annuus (common sunflower)
Lineage: Eukaryota; Viridiplantae; Streptophyta; Magnoliopsida; Asterales; Asteraceae
Source: RNAcentral
GGUUGCGAUCAUACCAGCACUAAUGCACCGGAUACCAUCAGAACUCCGCAGUUAAGCGUGCUUGGGGGAGAGUAGUACUAGGAUGGGUGACCCCCUGGGAAGUCCUCGUGUUGCAACUC